Molecule: ribosomal RNA, 162 nt
Filed under: Arizonaphlyctis lemmonensis
Lineage: Eukaryota; Fungi; Chytridiomycota; Chytridiomycetes; Rhizophlyctidales; Arizonaphlyctidaceae
Description: 5.8S ribosomal RNA
Rfam family: 5.8S ribosomal RNA
About the family: 5.8S ribosomal RNA (5.8S rRNA) is a component of the large subunit of the eukaryotic ribosome. It is transcribed by RNA polymerase I as part of the 45S precursor that also contains 18S and 28S rRNA.
Source: RNAcentral
CAACUUUUGACAACGGAUCUCUUGGCUCUCGCAACGAUGAAGAACGCAGCGAAUUGCGAUAAGUAAUGUGAAUUGCAGAAUUCAGUGAAUCAUCGAAUCUUUGAACGCACAUUGCGCUCCGGGGUAUUCCCCGGCGCAUGCCCGUUUGAGAAUCAGUAAGUU